Molecule: ribosomal RNA, 498 nt
Filed under: uncultured bacterium
Lineage: Bacteria
Description: partial 16S ribosomal RNA
Rfam family: Bacterial small subunit ribosomal RNA
Source: RNAcentral
AGCGAACGCUGGCGGCGUGCCUAACACAUGCAGGUCGAACGUGAAAAGGGAAACCUGAGUAAAGUGGCGUACGGGUGAGUAACGCGUAGGUAAUCUACCCCAGAAUCUGGAAUAACCUGCCGAAAGGCGGGCUAAUACUGGAUAGAGCGAGGGAACUCGUAAGAGAGUUUUUCGGGAAAGGGAGCCCGCAAGGGCCUUCGUUCUGGGAUGAGCCUGCGUCUCAUUAGCUAGUUGGUAAGGUAACGGCUUACCAAGGCGAUGAUGAGUAGCUGGUCUGAGAGGAUGAUCAGCCACACUGGAACUGAAACACGGUCCAGACUCCUACGGGAGGCAGCAGUGGGGAAUCUUGCGCAAUGGACGAAAGUCUGACGCAGCCACGCCGCGUGAGUGAAGAAGGCCUUCGGGUUGUAAAGCUCUGUCGGAUGGGACGAACAUCUUCAUAGUGAAUAGCUAUGAGGACUGACGGUACCAUCAAAGGAAGCACCGGCUAACUCCGUG